RNAcentral lists this ribosomal RNA (1461 nucleotides) under uncultured bacterium. Its description in RNAcentral is "bacterial SSU rRNA". It matches the Rfam family "Bacterial small subunit ribosomal RNA". The record is from RNAcentral.
GAUGAACGCUAUCUACAGGCUUAACACAUGCAAGUCGAGGGGCAGCAUGGUCUUAGCUUGCUAAGGCCGAUGGCGACCGGCGCACGGGUGAGUAACACGUAUCCAACCUGCCGUCUACUCUUGGACAGCCUUCUGAAAGGAAGAUUAAUACAAGAUGGCAUCAUGAGUCCGCAUGUUCACAUGAUUAAAGGUAUUCCGGUAGACGAUGGGGAUGCGUUCCAUUAGAUAGUAGGCGGGGUAACGGCCCACCUAGUCUUCGAUGGAUAGGGGUUCUGAGAGGAAGGUCCCCCACAUUGGAACUGAGACACGGUCCAAACUCCUACGGGAGGCAGCAGUGAGGAAUAUUGGUCAAUGGGCGAGAGCUUGAACCAGCCAAGUAGCGUGAAGGAUGACUGCCCUAUGGGUUGUAAACUUCUUUUAUAAAGGAAUAAAGUCGGGUAUGGAUACCCGUUUGCAUGUACUUUAUGAAUAAGGAUCGGCUAACUCCGUGCCAGCAGCCGCGGUAAUACGGAGGAUCCGAGCGUUAUCCGGAUUUAUUGGGUUUAAAGGGAGCGUAGAUGGAUGUUUAAGUCAGUUGUGAAAGUUUGCGGCUCAACCGUAAAAUUGCAGUUGAUACUGGAUAUCUUGAGUGCAGUUGAGGCAGGCGGAAUUCGUGGUGUAGCGGUGAAAUGCUUAGAUAUCACGAAGAACUCCGAUUGCGAAGGCAGCCUGCUAAGCUGCAACUGACAUUGAGGCUCGAAAGUGUGGGUAUCAAACAGGAUUAGAUACCCUGGUAGUCCACACGGUAAACGAUGAAUACUCGCUGUUUGCGGUAUACUGCAAGCGGCCAAGCGAAAGCGUUAAGUAUUCCACCUGGGGAGUACGCCGGCAACGGUGAAACUCAAAGGAAUUGACGGGGGCCCGCACAAGCGGAGGAACAUGUGGUUUAAUUCGAUGAUACGCGAGGAACCUUACCCGGGCUUAAAUUGCAGAUGAAUUACGGUGAAAGCCGUAAGCCGCAAGGCAUCUGUGAAGGUGCUGCAUGGUUGUCGUCAGCUCGUGCCGUGAGGUGUCGGCUUAAGUGCCAUAACGAGCGCAACCCUUGUUGUCAGUUACUAACAGGUUCCGCUGAGGACUCUGACAAGACUGCCAUCGUAAGAUGUGAGGAAGGUGGGGAUGACGUCAAAUCAGCACGGCCCUUACGUCCGGGACUACACACGUGUUACAAUGGGGGGUACAGAGGGCCGCUACCACGCGAGUGGAUGCCAAUCCCCAAAACCUCUCUCAGUUCGGACUGGAGUCUGCAACCCGACUCCACGAAGCUGGAUUCGCUAGUAAUCGCGCAUCAGCCACGGCGCGGUGAAUACGUUCCCGGGCCUUGUACACACCGCCCGUCAAGCCAUGGGAGCCGGGGGUACCUGAAGUGCGUAACCGCGAGGAGCGCCCUAGGGUAAAACUGGUGACUGGGGCUAAGUCAUAACA